Molecule: non-coding RNA, 2429 nt
Organism: Lupinus albus (white lupine)
Lineage: Eukaryota; Viridiplantae; Streptophyta; Magnoliopsida; Fabales; Fabaceae
Source: the annotation of a GenBank genome assembly
UGUCCUUUUUCGUUUCAUGCAUCAUACACAGUAUAUUUUUCAUACACUUAUAUUUUAAUAAAGGCGAGAGUUCGCGCAUCGGUAAGGUUGUUUGUCUUGUAAUAUGUGUUCACGGGUCGAAAUAGUUCGGGCAAUGUUCCCGCUGUUACCCUUCACUAGGUUGGAGUCUUGUAUACUAGACCAUCAUUUUUUACUAUUAGGUUUCCAUAGGUACCUCAUCCAUUUUAACUGAAAUAUUCUCCUUCUUAUGACUGUUAUAUUCCAAUUCAGAAUGAUGGGAAAACAUCAUUGUUUAAUGUUAUUGCAGUAUGUAACCACAAUCAGUGACUGAUAUCAUGUCUUUUCUUAUCCAAUGGAAAUUUCAUAGACCUUUCUUGCUGUAAGAUGUCAAAGCCCUGCCUUUAGUCUCAUCAGACCUCAUCUUGCAGCUAUUUGACUAUGAUUUGUUGCGACCGGCAUGAACUCUUGUCAUCUGCCGAUGUUACAAUGUGUCAUGUAACUUCCAAGAAGCAAAGUCAGUAAAAAUAGUGACCCGUCAUCAAAUUGUAUGCCACAUCAACAUCAAAGUGGGGACUAAUUGCAUCAAUCAGAAAACUAUUAGCGCCUUCUUUAAAUGGUAUCCCCCUGCUGGUCCUUCGUAAUAAGAUCGAUAAAGCAGGGACUUUGUCUGAGCAAGACUUUACAGAACAAAUGUGAGUCUUUUGCCUGGAUGUAUAAGAUAGACAGAUCUAGCUGCUGAAUAUGAUGUGACUAAAUCAGGAAGUUUGGUUCAACAUUUUCAUUUAAACAAGAGAUCAACUAUUGUACUGAGACUUAAGAUCAUGUGCCAGAGGAAUUUUUCAGUCUGUGAUUUGCAUCUUCUCCUGUUCUUUAGUAGCAGAAAUGAAACUGCAAUUAUUCCUUUCUGACUGAAAAUGCAGUUCAAGUCUUUGUCAUGCAUCCAAAGCGAGAAUCAUACCACUAGACAAAAUGCCCAUGUUGAAAACACAAGGGCUAAGUCAAAAUCAUCAUCAGUUAUUUUAUUAAAAUUGUUUACUCAUGUUACAUGAUCUGAAGUUUUAAAUUUCUUUAUGCAUGUGUAUGGUCUGCAGUUUUAUUAUGGUGUCAAGGAUCCAUCUCAAGACCAAUUGCCAAUGAGAGGAGUAGUAGGCCAAAAUGUAUUUAAACCAUGCCUAGGAGAACGAGGCAAACAAUGUGGACAAUGUGGACUUACUUCACAACAUAUUGUUUAUUCAUGCUGCAUAACCUUUGUCCUCUCAUGAAAAUGAAUCACUGAUUGAAGAUACCAAUUCCUGAAGCUAACAUGUUUUUUUAGUACAGCUGCUACGCUGUCACUUGGGACUGAAAAGCUUUCAGCCAACGCUCUUCGAUGUUCAUGGUUCACAUCGUACAUCUAAAGAAUGCAGGUAUGAUGUGGUGUGCUGAGACCUGAGAUCAUGUGCCACAAUCUCAGCUCUUUAACCGAUUCUUUAAAACUUGUAGAGAUGUGGACAUCAAAGCAACUGGCCAAGUGAAUGCAGGCAUCAUGUGGUGUGCUGAGACUUGAGAUCACGUGCCACAAUCUCAGUGUUUUAACCGAUUCUUGCAAACUUGUAGAGACAUUGACAUCAAAGCAGCUGGCUAUGUGGAUCCAUCAAAAAAACCAAUUGGGAAUGAGAGGAGUGACCAACAUGUAUCUAAACCAUGCUUAGGAGAAUGAGGCAAACAGUAUGGGACUUACUUCCCAACAUAAUGUUUAUUCAUGCUGCAUAAUCUGUCCUUUCAUGAAACUGAAUCACUGAAUGAAGCUAUCAAUUCCUAAAGCUAACAUGUUUUUUAGUACACCUGCUAAGCUGUCACUUGGGACUGAGAAGCUUUCAGCCAAUACUAUUCAACAUUCACGCUUCACGUCGUUCAUCCGAAGAAUGCAGGCAUCAUGUGGUAUGCUGAGACUUGAGGUCACGUGCCACAAUCUCAAUGCUUUAACCUAUUCUUGCAAACUGGUAGAGAUGUUGGUAUCAAAGCAGCUGGCUAAGUGAGGUAUGGAAAUCAAAGCAACUGGCCAAGGGCCUCACGCCUAGCUGUUCUUGUGCUCAAUAGCGAUGGCCUUGGUAUAGCCAGUUGCAUCAAAUUGACCAGACCUGCUUACCUGGAUAGACAAAUCUCAGAAAUUCUUAAAUGAUUCCAACAGCAACUAGCUGCAUAACCUAUGUCCUUUCUUGGAAAUGAAACACCGGAUGAAGCUAAUAAUUCCAGAAAGUGCAUUUUUUUGGGUAAGUGCUAACUGCUAAGCUGUCAGAGUUCAUGUAUCACAUAGUACGCCCCAAGGCAUUCCAUGCAGUCCCCUGAUGCAUAUUGGUGUUCUUUAAUGAUUCCAACAGCAAGUUGCUGCAUGCCUUAUGUCCUUUCAUUAAAAUGGAACACUGUGUGAAGCUAAAGAUUCCUGAAAC